GGAGAAAAGUGGCAAACUUGUUGAAAAGCAAGGACGCAAAGCUUUAGGGGCUAACGGAAAACCUAAGCCAGCCAGCUGCCUGG
RNAcentral lists this non-coding RNA (83 nucleotides) under Sediminibacillus albus. RNAcentral describes it as "c-di-GMP-I riboswitch aptamer". It matches the Rfam family "c-di-GMP-I riboswitch aptamer". From Rfam's summary of the family: GEMM was predicted in a large-scale screen for bacterial structured RNA regulatory elements. Genes associated with GEMM are involved in a diverse array of functions, including chemotaxis regulation, signal transduction, secretion and chitin. The record is from Rfam by way of RNAcentral. Lineage: Bacteria; Bacillati; Bacillota; Bacilli; Caryophanales; Bacillaceae.